RNAcentral lists this unclassified non-coding RNA (337 nucleotides) under soil metagenome. Its description in RNAcentral is "partial contains 5.8S ribosomal RNA, internal transcribed spacer 2, and large subunit ribosomal RNA". The stretch from base 1 to 120 matches the Rfam family "5.8S ribosomal RNA", at positions 35 to 154 of the family's 154-position model. The record is from RNAcentral.
GAUGAAGAACGUAGCGAAAUGCGAUAAGUAGUGUGAAUUGCAGAAUUCAGUGAAUCAUCGAAUCUUUGAACGCACAUUGCGCCCCAUGGUAUUCCGUGGGGCAUGCCUGUUCGAGCGUCAUUUACCCCCUCAAGCUCCGCUUGGUGUUGGGCGUCUGUCCCGCUUCGCGCGCGGACUCGCCCCAAAGGUAUUGGCAGCGGUCGUGCCAGCUUCUCGCGCAGCACAUUGCGCUUCUCGAGGCACCGGUGGGCCCGCGUCCAUCAAGCUCACCCCCCCAGUUUGACCCCGGAUCAGGUAGGGAUACCCGCUGAACUUAAGCAUAUCAAUAAGCGGAGGA